This 294-nucleotide unclassified non-coding RNA is filed under the name uncultured fungus. RNAcentral describes it as "sequence contains ITS1, 5.8S rRNA gene". The stretch from base 246 to 294 matches the Rfam family "5.8S ribosomal RNA", at positions 1 to 49 of the family's 154-position model. The record is from RNAcentral. Lineage: Eukaryota; Fungi.
UCUCCGUUGGUGAACCAGCGGAGGGAUCAUUAAUGAGUUACUAAACUCCAAAACCCUUUGUGAACCUUACCGUCGUUUCCUCGGCGUGUGCUGCGGCUACCUGGAGCUUACCCUGGAAGGCACCUACCCUGUAGGUUAGGUGUCUACCUUGGAGCUACCCUGUAGUCGCGUGAAGGCCCGCCGAAGGACCGUUAAACUCUUGUUUUUACAACUGUAUCUCUGAAUACGUAACUGAAAUAAGUUAAAACUUUCAACAACGGAUCUCUUGGUUCUGGCAUCGAUGAAGAACGCAGC